GUAGAGCACUCCUACGGGAGGCAGCAGUGGGGAAUAUUGCACAAUGGGCGCAAGCCUGAUGCAGCCAUGCCGCGUGUAUGAAGAAGGCCUUCGGGUUGUAAAGUACUUUCAGCAGUGAGGAAGGUGGAUAUGUUAAUAACAUAUUCAUUUGACGUUAGCUGCAGAAGAAGCACCGGCUAACUCCGUGCCAGCAGCCGCGGUAAUACGGAGGGUGCGAGCGUUAAUCGGAAUUACUGGGCGUAAAGCGCAUGCAGGUGGUUUGUUAAGUCAGAUGUGAAAGCCCGGGGCUCAACCUCGGAAUUGCAUUUGAAACUGGCAAACUAGAGUACUGUAGAGGGGGUAGAAUUUCAGGUGUAGCGGUGAAAUGCGUAGAGAUCUGAAGGAAUACCGGUGGCGAAGGCGGCCCCCUGGACAGAUACUGACACUCAGAUGCGAAAGCGUGGGGAGCAAACAGGAUUAGAUACCCUGGUAG
RNAcentral lists this ribosomal RNA (472 nucleotides) under uncultured bacterium. Its description in RNAcentral is "bacterial SSU rRNA". It matches the Rfam family "Bacterial small subunit ribosomal RNA", at positions 328 to 793 of the family's 1533-position model. The record is from RNAcentral.